UGGAAGAGUGAAUUUUUAAACUAUAAUUAUUAAUAGUUAAUGUCUUUAAAAUUAAAGAUUUUGGCGGUAUUUUAGUCUUUUCAGAGGAACCUGUUUAUUAAUCGAUAGUCCACGAUUUAUUUUACUUUAGUUUUAAAUUUACAUAUCGUUGUAAAAUAAAUAUUUUUAUAGAAUUUAAAUGUUUGAGAUUUAUUAUUAUAUAUUAAUUCAGAUCAAGGUGUAGUUUAUAUUAAAGUUUAAAUGGGUUACAUUAUAUUUAUAUGUGGUUUNUAUAGUUGAAAACUAUUGAAUAAAUUGGAUUUGAGAGUAAUUUUUAUAGUUUUAUAGGAUGAUUUAGCUCUAAAAUAUGC
RNAcentral lists this ribosomal RNA (350 nucleotides) under Philolithus aegrotus. RNAcentral's name for it is "partial small subunit ribosomal RNA". The record is from RNAcentral. Lineage: Eukaryota; Metazoa; Arthropoda; Insecta; Coleoptera; Tenebrionidae.